CCUACGGGAGGCAGCAGUAAGGAAUAUUGGACAAUGCUCGCAAGAGUGAUCCAGCCAUGCCGCGUGCAGGAAGAAUGCCCUAUGGGUAGUAAACUGCUUUUGAACUAGAGAAAAUCCCAGUACGUGUACUGGGCUGAUAGUAUAGUUAGAAUAAGCAUCGGCUAACUUCGUGCCAGCAGCCGCGGUAAGACGAAGGAUGCAAGCGUUAUCCGGAUUCAUUGGGUUUAAAGGGAGCGUAGGUGGACUGAUAAGUCAGUGGUGAAAUCUCCGAGCUUAACUCGGAAAUUGCCAUUGAUACUGUUGGUCUUGAGUACAGUUGCUGUGGGCGGAAUAUGACGUGUAGUGGUGAAAUACAUAGAGAUGUCAUAGAACACCGAUUGCGAAGGCAGCUCACAAAGCUGUAACUGACACUGAGGCUCGAAAGUGCGGGGAUCAAACAGGAUUAGAUACCCUGGUAGUCCGCACCGUAAACGAUGAUUACUCGCUGCUAGGGGGCACCGUUUAGUGGCUUAGCGAAAGCGAUAGUUAAUUCACCUUGGGGAGUACGCCGGCACGGUGAAACGUUCAAGAGUUAGUUAGGCGGNGNGAGAGCGACGACGGACGACGACGGAGGAGGUAG
RNAcentral lists this ribosomal RNA (619 nucleotides) under uncultured bacterium. RNAcentral's name for it is "bacterial SSU rRNA". It matches the Rfam family "Bacterial small subunit ribosomal RNA", at positions 338 to 957 of the family's 1533-position model. The record is from RNAcentral.